RNAcentral lists this unclassified non-coding RNA (340 nucleotides) under Conocybe fiorii. RNAcentral describes it as "partial internal transcribed spacer region". The stretch from base 1 to 46 matches the Rfam family "Eukaryotic small subunit ribosomal RNA", at positions 1786 to 1831 of the family's 1831-position model. The record is from RNAcentral. Lineage: Eukaryota; Fungi; Basidiomycota; Agaricomycetes; Agaricales; Bolbitiaceae.
AAGUCGUAACAAGGUUUCCGUAGGUGAACCUGCGGAAGGAUCAUUACAGAAAUAAACUUGAUGGAUUGUUGCUGGUUCACUAAUGUGAAUAUUGUGCACGUCUGUCAUUUUUAUCUUUCCACCAUGUGCACCCUGCAUAGGCCUGAUUAUCAGCCUUUGGUUGAUCAAUAUGUAUAUAUUUUGGGAAUUGCAGUUUCGUAAAUGGAACAGCUCUUUCUCUACUAUUCAGGUUCUAUGAUUUUUUUUUAUAAACACCCUGUAUGUUUAUGAACGUUAAUCAAAGGCACUUUUGUAGCCUAUAAACUUUAUACAACUUUCAGCAACGGAUCUCUUGGCUCUC